Long non-coding RNA from Taeniopygia guttata (zebra finch), 8031 nucleotides. The record is from Ensembl. Lineage: Eukaryota; Metazoa; Chordata; Aves; Passeriformes; Estrildidae.
AAACUCCCUGCACAGAAAAGCCAAUGUAAUUAGCCCUGACAGGAUCUGCAGACUAGCAGCAGCAGCCGAGAGGCGGGAGGGGAGGGAAAAACAACCCAACAUCAUUUUAUAGGCAAAUGUAAAUGGGUCAUUAGCUGUCUUAGAACAAAAUGUUCCUUCCUGGGGAAGGCAGGGGACAGGCCUGGCUGGAGGAAAUGUUGCAGAAGGCCUGGCGAGGCUUCCUGUGAAAGCAGCUUUGCUGGGAUGCUGGAUGAAAAGGCUCUUGCUCUCACUGGAAGCAGAGCUCCUGAGAUUUUUGCCUUCCAGCAGGGUUAGGGUGGCAGGACACAGGUUCCUGUGGUACCUAAAGUCAGCUCUGAGCCUCUCAAGGUCACCUUCUCCAUCAGCAGAAGCAUCACCCUGCUCCAGGGUCUCCGGAACAGUUCCAAGCUGAAGGUUUUCCAGCUUAGGGAAAGUCCUGUGCCAGGUGCUGCACAGUCAUUGGGGAAGGCACAGAGUCCUCUCCAGGUGUGAGAGCUCAGCUGCAAGAAUGAGGGCAGUGGGAAGAAGAGGAGCAUUGCCUGCAGACCUUGUCCAGGAUCAAAUUCCACCCAAAUGAGAGAAUCACAGAAUCGUUUGGGUUGGAAGGGAGCUCAAAGCUCAUCCUGUGCCACUCCCUGCCAUGGGCAGGGACACAUUCCACUGUCCCAGGCUCCUCCAAGCCCCAUCCAAGCUGGCCUUGGACACUUGCAGGGAUCCAGGGGCAGCCACAGCUUCUCUGGGAAGCUUCCUCUGCAGAGAAGAAUUUCUGCCUGAGAGAACUGAACUCCUUGCAGUCCCAAGGGUUACUCCUGAAGCUCCCUGCAGAUGUUGCAUUUGCCACUUUAAAUUAUUUUGAUCCAAACCAAACAGCAAAAAUUGAAAAAAUUUUCCUGUUUGGGCUCCAUCAGAGGUCUCAGAUGAUUUACAGUUUGAUCCUGGCAGAUGAUUUCUAUUAUUUCCACCUUGGCUUCAGCCAGUUCAGGUCUUGGGUGACCCCUUUGAAUGACCACAGACUGCAAUGAGCCUUUGUGCGUGGGAUGUGCUUAGCAGCAAAGGAUGGGAUGCGCUUGAGGGGCUGGAGCACAGCUGGCAGGGAGAGGGGUUUUGUGAGACAACAACAAACCCUUCUUUUUGAUUGGAGUGUUUGUUCCUGGUCUCCCUGUGGAAGGUCUGAAAGCUCCAGUUGACUUCUUCUCCCAGAAGGGUGCAACAGCUGGAUCCAGGUCACUACCUCCUGUGGACCCUCUCUUAAUAAAUUCUUAAUUGACUCUUAAUACUCUGUAUGUUACUCAGCAGUGUUGUCACCAGGCUGUUUGCAAACCCCUGGCUCUGAGAACCUGUGGAGAGGGGUGGGGCAGAGCUCCCCUUUGUCAUGGCCAAGGGGAAGCAUCUGAAAUUUAGAGUAGGGAUAAAAUGAUCCCUCAGCAUUCCUGCACAAUGACAAACAGCAGAGUGGCAGAUGCCAAGCCUGGGUCUCUCUGUUUGACAGGCCAGACUGGGCCAGCACAAGACCCAAAUCCACAGCAGCCGGGAUGAAAAGUUUCCUGGACAGCUUUGUUAGCAUCCCGGCACUCAGUGAAGAACCUGGAUGCUUCCUCAUAUCUGAAACUUUCUGGGAAAUCUCCUGUGCUCCUCUAUCCUUUGCCCCAUUCCUGAAAGUGUCCAAGGCCAGGUUGGAUGGGGUUUGGAGCAACCUGGAGUACUGGGAGGAGUUCCACCCCAUGGCAGGGGGCUGGAAUGUUAAGGUCCCUUCCCCAGCCUUUCUGGGAACAUCAGGUUGGAGAAGAGGUGACUCAGAGCAAUCUGCAUUCAGGGAAAUCUUGCAGUGGGGGUAUUGCUGUGCUGGAUGGAGAGAUCCUGCUGCUGAGCUUGGAGUCCUUAAUGCAGGGCUGGGAAUUUAUCAGGGGUCUCUGGGAAUCAGGGACUGGGAUCCAAUGGCAGCUGGGAGGAUCUGAUGUAUAACUCAGGUAAGGUUUGCUGUGAAUGCCGGGAAACGUCCCUUUGUGUGUCCUCUGUGGAAAGGAGAUCAAUGUGGGCACAGAGGUGCAGCCUGCUGGGGAGUACAAGUGUACAAGUCUCAGGCAGCCUUUGAAACCUUCCUUCACCUGCUUUUCUGAGUUCUUGAUGCCUGAAGAUCUCAUUUUGAACAGAGUGGUUUAGUUCUCCCUCAGCUCUUUCCUCACCUCUGUUUUUUGCCUGGGGCGAGGCUCUCUUGGACAGUGGACUGGGCUGCUCAUUCUUCCUGUAGGUGUCCCUUGGUGAAGGCUUCAUUUGAAGGCAGUGCUUCAGAGGCAUCUCUGAGCUUUUAAACCCAGAGAAAACUUUCAUGGCAUUACUUCCCAUGGGCCAGCUCUGUGUCUGGGGAAUCAGAGGGAAUGGCUGCACACGCUUGCAGCUGUGGGUGUUAAGAGAAGCUUCAUUUUUCAAAAGCCUAGAAAAAGGGAUCCUCAGAGCCACCCCCACGGAGGGUGCACGAUGCACCCUCCAAUUCUUCCCCUCAUUUUCAGGAGGGACAAGAGCUGUGAGCUGGUUGCAAACGGCAGCACUCAGUUUCUUCUCCCCUUCUUGACACAUCCAGGGACUGAGCUGCUACUUCCAGACACCAUGGUGUGACAAACCCACUGUAGCCUCUUUGUACUGACUGCACCUCACUGUGAGUAAAAUUCAGUUUAAAAACACAGUGGUGACGUUGUGCUCCAAGCAGGAUCCUGCCCCUCCUGAUCUGAAGAUUAGCCUGCUGAUAUUUUGCUCUUGGAGGGGAGGUUUCCAGGAUGCCAUCCCUCUGAGCCUGCCCACAUGAAUCUGUGGUGUUUUGCUCUUUGGACUACAAACUUCUAGGAAUUUGUAGGUGGAAAUCUGACUUUUGCUGGUGUUCUCAGAGCCUGGUGCUGGUGCUGCUCCAGCUGGGUUCCUCUAGCAUGGGAACCUUGAGUUUGUUAACAGCUCUAGAGUCAACUGGGGAGCAGCUAUUGUUCUCAGAGCUUCUCACAUAUGUAUCACUUCAAGGUUUCCUCCUUCCAUUCAAAGUAUUUGGGGAUAGAGGAAUGAGGGAAGCAAGCUGCCAGUGUCUAAUGCAUGUUUCUUGGAGCAAAAUGUAUUGGUUUAUUUUGUUUUAAACAGCUUAUUGCAAAUGGGGAGCAGCUGUGGAUUUUGCGAUGACUUUUUUUGUUUUAGUUUUUGGAAACGUGGGGUCAUCUCCCUAGUAUUCCAUAGCAUGCUUGCUAUAGACAAAAAAAAAAUCUAAUUUUGAAGAAUUUCAAAGCAGUUCUUUAGACUUAAUCAAAUUCUUAAUUCCCUGAUCUAUUAAAGCCUAUUCAGUAAUCAGCCUGAUGAGAAGGAAUGUGGAGUUUCCUCAGGGCUCCCUCUUGGCUUGCCCUUCUGAGGCUGAAAUUAAGGCAGCCCACAGUCCCAUGCAGCAGAUCCCUGAUGGGGUUUGGGUAUCCGAGUCCCAGUCCCAAACACAGCAUUCUCAGGCACAGGGUGGGAUUCUGGGCACUGCCCUCUAAAGGGCCAGGGGUUGGACUCCAUGAACCUGGUGGGUUCCUUCCACCCAGGAUCUUGUGAUUCUGUUAGAUGGGCUGAGAGGCUCCAUCCCCAGAGGCAUUCCAUUGUCCCAGUGUCUUGUUUGAGCCUUGAGCCACACCUGAGUGCCUGAUCUGAUCAUCUCUUUGCAUCUUCUCCAAGGAACCUGGCCAGGGAGGAUUUGGGGAGAUACUUAAUAGUGCUGUGUUUUGGGUUUAAGCGCUUUUCUCCCUAAGAGCAGAUGGAAGAAUUGUUCCUGUUUGGAUCUCCUGAGUGUGUUGUACAGCCUUGGUAUAAGGUCGAGGAGGGAGCAGAAUUUCAGGGGAAACAUGAGGUCAGUGAGGCUUUGGCUCCAGCCUGACAAUUAAUUUCACAGAAUCCCAGGGUGGUUUGUGUUGGAAGGGACCUUAAAGCUCAUCCAUUCCACCCCCUGCCAUGGGCAGGGACACCUUCCAGUGUCCCAGGGCGCUUCAAACUGGCCUUGGGCAGUGCCAGGGAUCCAGGGGCAGCCACAGCUUCUCUGGGCACCCUGUGCCAGGGCCUGCCCACCCUGCCAGGGAGCAACUCCUUCCCAAUAUCUAUCUUUAUUGCUGCCGGAGUGGCUGAGUUCCCUGUGUCUGUGUGUACAGGUGGCCCCGAGGCACAUGGAUUUCAGCACAGCUCCAUGGAUACAGACAUCCCGUAACAAAGGAGCAGGCCCCGAGUGUUUUGGGGAAGGGAGAUAAUAAUAAGCCAGUUUGGCACAGCUCUUUCCUAAGCCUGGCCAGUCAACCCUAACAAUGUAAACAGCUCUUUCGGGGUGAAAUGUUGCUUUUCAGUUUCACAAAUCUGCUGGCUGAGCUCUCUGCCAAGGAGUGGUGUGAAUGAGGUGCCCUAUAUUUUCUUUCUCGCCUGUCCUGCCCUUUUCCUGCAAAAAGGAGAUAGCUUCUGGCUCUGCAGGGCUGGUCUGCAGCCUGGGCAGCAUCAGUGGUGCUGUGCUCCGCUGUCAGAGCUGCCCUGAGCACGGAGGUGUGGGAGCCACGUCCAGAAGGCUCCUGCAAGGAUCCUCCUGCAAGGAUCUUCCUGCAAGGAUCCUCCUGCAAGGAUCCUCCGGGACUUGCGCCAGUUCUCCUGGGGAGCGGGGGGUAGGGUAGUUUCCUUCCUGGGGUUAGUGUCAGCCCUCAUGAAUCCUCUGCCACCUUCAGCUCUGCCUGCACUCCCCAGCUCCCGGCCCUGAAGUUUGGAAAUGCCGACUUCUAACUCCUGACCUCCCACACUACUCCAAUUCCAAGAAACAAUGCCCUAAAUGUGCUGGCAGUGACAGCUCGCUGAUUCCUACAGCAUGGCUUGUUAAAAGAUCUAAACCUACUAAUAGGAAUUGGCUUGAUAAAAGGGAUUUUUUUUUAACCUCCUCACUUAGCGUGAGGAGGUUAGUGUACACUUAGUGUAGCACAUGCAGCCCAGAGAAUCUAGAAAUUAAAUUGGCUUUUUGUCAAGCCUCCUGUAUGCAACAGCAAUGGGACCCCUGCAGUGCAGUGCAGUGUUUCCAAUUACAUUUUGGGGUAUGUUGCUAAUUUUUGGCACACAGAGAGAAGCAGGCCAGGCAAAUGGCAGGUGGCAGGCUGUUUUCAUAUUUCACUAGGAGCAUGGGGGAAGGGAGAGGGGAGAAGGAGCCGAGCUCUCUGCCAGGAAAUGUGACCUCGCAGAGUGUGAGCAGAAGAGUUUUGGCAUGUGGUGGAGGAUGGAGGGCUGGGCAGGCAUGGCUGAGCCAGUUUACAUCCCCUCCUGCUGGGAAUACGCACGCAGGGAAGCAGGGCUAGAAUAAACACGCUCCAGCAGCGACAGCCCCCAGGUCUGGAUCUGGGCACCUCUGGGCCGUGUGUGGCUGCAGCCCGGCUGCUCUGUGGGACAGCGCUGUCACCGUGCUCCGCCUCUGCCGCCCCGCGCCCGCUCCUCUGCCCCCAGCACAACAACAAAACUGGCUUUGCUUCACUCAUUUGUUCCCAGCACAGCUAAUGCAUUCAGCAUGGCACCGCUCUGCAGGGCCUGGGUGGCUUCUCAGAGCUGUUGCACAAUCUGGGUGUGCACUGAGGGCAGCAGCGGCCAGAAGCUGCUUCCCAGGACCUGCAUCUGUCCCAGGGUGGCUUUGCCCAUCAGGACAGAGGCCUAGAGGUGAGAAUUCUAGGGGUCAGACCACCGAAUUGUUUGGUUGGAAGGGACCUUAAAGCUCAUCUUGUCCCAAACCCCUGCCAUGGGCAGGGACACCUUCAACUAUUCCCAGGCUGCUCCAAGCCCCAGUGUCCAGCCUGGCCUUGGACACUGCCAGGGAUCCCUGGGCAGCCACAGCUGCUCUGGGCACCCUGUGCCAGGGCCUGCCCACCCUCCCAGGGAACAAUCCCUUCCCAAUAUCUCAUCUAAUACUUGCCCUCCUUCAGCUCAAAUCCAUUUGCCCCUGUGCCCAGAAAUGCUGCUGUGUGUGACAAGAGCAGUCAGAACUAGUCUGUGCUCACAGGGACCGGGGCAAAACAUCCACCUCAACCCAAGGGAAUGUUAGCCAGGAGAACUUUUUGGGAAAAAGCCUCAGGAGUCAGAAUGGAGGCCUCUAAAUGCUUAAUUUACACAUCAAAUCCAAAAAUAAAAUGGUGGACACCAUGAAAGAGGGUUGUGAGAGAUCUUAUUCCGGGUCUAUCUGGAGGUGUAUUUGUGCUGAAGCUUGCAGAUAUGGUUCUUGUAACAAUUACUGAAUGUUGUUCUGAUUGCUAAAUGUUGUCCUGAUACUGAAUUUUGUUCCACAGCAAUGAUUUCACUGGUAAAACCCAAAAUCCCCUCAUUUUGAAAAGACCGUAAGGUGAGACUGGAGACAGCAAACAAAAUUUCCAGUAGAGUAAAACACUGGUGAGCUGGGCAUGAUGUCAGGAAGCCCUUUUGUAGUGCUUUUUGUAGGGGGCUGGGCAUGCUGAAGGUUUAUUUCAAGUUGGCUUUGCUGCUGUGUGCUGAGAUCUAUUGGCAGAGGUAAAUGUGGAAACAUUACAGUGGGAAAAGACCUCCCUCUAAGAUCCUCGAGUCCAGCUAAGAACCAUCAUGGUGACAAAGUUAGUUCUGGCUGACAGAAGACUUUAAAUCUCCUUCAUUUACUCUUCCCAGUGGUGGAGGCACCCCCCCAAAAAAACCCAAAAACCCAAACAUCUCUGCUCCCCCAUCCCUCUGUCUGUUCAGACACUGCCAUUGCAUCCCAUCCUCCUCCUCCUCCCCCUGCUGCUGUUUUGCCGCAGGGAUGAGCCCAGAUAUUUUUGGCACCAGAGCUAAUGUUCUUGAAAUGCCUUUGAGCUGAUAGCAAGCCAGCCAGUCAGGGACUUGUGAGAUCCUCAGCGACCUUGUUUCAGAAGAAAAUUGUCAGGGUUUCAACCUGUUAAUUUGCUUUCUUGCAACCUGCCUGAAGGGCUUGGGAAGCAGGGCCCUGGUCCGCUGAAAUCCUGGCAGUGUGCUUUCAGGAGGAGGUGCUGCCUGAGGACAUGGGGAUGGAUAUGAGUGCUGGGCUGUGCUGCUGCUAAUGGCAGUGGGGUGAGUGCAUCACUACCCCUGUGUUAAGCACUUGCUGCUCACAUGGCUGAAAUCAGGUGGCAGCCGUCAACCAAUUUGCCAUCAGACCUUCUACACUGUGAUGGCUAAAUCUGUGCUUGGUAGCAGCAGAGGUGCUUUUCUGACUCCACCUGAGGGAUGCUGGAGGAGAAGAUGGGUUUGACAUUUUUAAGACAUCGUCUCCUGGUGCAGUGUUGCUUUUCUCACUGAACAUUUUUCCGGAGUGUGUAGCCUGGAUUCUCCUUGCUUCAUUGUAUGGAGACACAGAAUGUUUAGUGAUUAGGUCUGAAUUAGCCCCAGGACAAGGUGCCUCUCAACUGGAAACAGAUGUGCAUGAUGGAAGGGAGAAUGGCUUUGGGUUGAAAAGUACCUCAAAGCUCAUCCUGUUCCACCCCUUGCCACAGGCAGGGACACCUUUCACUCUCCCAGGGUGCUCCAAGCUCCAUCCACCUAGCCUUGGGCACUGCCAGGGAUCCAGGGUGUCCUAGGUUAUAAUAUUGGGGUGUAUUCCAUUACCACCUGGAGCUGCAAUCCCUUUCUUUCCUUAUCUCGUGGCUCAGAGAUAAGUCCCUCCGGGAGGACCUGCUCUUUUAGCCAUAUGACUGAUAAGAUCACAGCGUUCUAUUGUGAGAUGCUCCGCCCACAGGGAGGAGCCAAACGAAUGCCAUCAAGGAUGUAAGUGGGGUUGUACAAACAGCAAGUAAAUCCCCUCUUCCAAGAGGAACAGCUGAGACCUUCUCUGCACUGGACCUCCAGAGGGAAACUCCAUCAGUCUGCAGGACCACUGCUUGGACAGAACCAUAUCUACUACCACCGCCCCAGCCAGCGAGUGUCAGGCUGUAUCUCUGACUCUGUCAGUAGUUCUUCUUUUAUGCUAUUGUAUGUAUUUGGUUCUUUGUUCCCUUUUUCCUAAUAAAUUGUAUUUCUGAC